GAUGAACGCUAGCGGCAGGCCUAACACAUGCAAGUCGAGGGGUAACUAGAGUGAUAGCAAUAUUACUUUGGCUAGACCGGCGCACGGGUGCGUAACACGUAUGCAACCUACCUUAUACUGGGGAAUAACUUCGAGAAAUCGGCGCUAAUACCCCAUAACACUGCGGAGAGGCAUCUCUUUGCAGUUAAAGCUCCGGCGGUAUAAGAUGGGCAUGCGUCCAAUUAGCUAGUUGGUGAGGAACGGCUCACCAAGGCUACGAUUGGUAGGGGUUCUGAGAGGAUGAUCCCCCACACUGGUACUGAGACACGGACCAGACUCCUACGGGAGGCAGCAGUGAGGAAUAUUGCGCAAUGGACGAAAGUCUGACGCAGCCAUGCCGCGUGCAGGAUGACGGCCCUAUGGGUUGUAAACUGCUUUUGUAGGGGAAUAAACCCUUCUACGUGUAGGAGGCUGAAGGUACCGUAAGAAUAAGCACCGGCUAACUCCGUGCCAGCCGCCGCAGUAA
RNAcentral lists this ribosomal RNA (505 nucleotides) under uncultured bacterium. RNAcentral describes it as "partial 16S ribosomal RNA". It matches the Rfam family "Bacterial small subunit ribosomal RNA", at positions 28 to 523 of the family's 1533-position model. The record is from RNAcentral.